UGACAUAAAUAUGGAGUGUACAAGUUUAGUAAAUAUGACAUCUUCUUGCCUUGCCAACCAUUCUGUUGUAUCACCACCCAUAUUCUGAGUCC
This is a small nucleolar RNA of Triticum dicoccoides, 92 nucleotides long. RefSeq annotates it as small nucleolar RNA Z43. The record is from RefSeq and is a predicted model, not a curated record. The transcript has a single exon. NCBI's taxonomy places the organism in Eukaryota, Viridiplantae, Streptophyta, Magnoliopsida, Poales, Poaceae.